Long non-coding RNA from Leopardus geoffroyi (Geoffroy's cat), 9609 nucleotides. RefSeq lists it as uncharacterized. The record is from RefSeq and is a predicted model, not a curated record. The transcript has 8 exons. Lineage: Eukaryota; Metazoa; Chordata; Mammalia; Carnivora; Felidae.
AAUAAAUAAACAUUAAAAAACAAAUUAAGGAGUAAAGGGUAUCCUGAAAUGAUGAUCGGUGAGAACUGAUUUUGCUUCUGACUACAUCUAACUUAUUCUGAAAGAAGGAGAUAAUGGCUCAACAUGGAACAAAAUGCCUGUGAAGAAGAAGCAGAAAAUGAGCCAAGGGGCCAGAACCAUUCAUAGAGCAAAGCUUUUAGUUCCAGACAAAUUAAUUCCACGCAUAUAGGAAAGAAAGUACCAAUUUAAAGUCUUCACUGUUUGAUAUAAAUCCCUGUCCAUAAUGACAUCAGUUUGGCUAGCAUGGCUGGGCAAGGACAAGAGCAGCCAAGUAAAAGCAAUAGACUCUAGGGCCAGACUAUCUGGAUUCAAAUCCUAGCCCCACCGCUUUCUAACCAUGUGAUCCAGGGCAAGUCCCUCCUUGCCUCUUUGACUCUGUGUUCUUAUCUGUAAAAGAAUGAUAACAGUACCUGCCUUAUAGGGUAGUCAUGGGGAUUCAAUGAGAUCGUGUAUAUAAGGCAUGUGGAACAGUGCCCAGCCUAUACUAAGUACCAGAAGGAUGUUUGCUUUAUAUGUCCUUAUGAGGUACUCAGUGUGCGACCAAAAUACAGACAGUGGUUUUAUAUUUAGACAUUCUUAGGGCUUUCAUAUAGGAAAAGGACACAGUAGAUUUGAUUCAUCUUAGAUGCACUUUGCUAAAUAAAGUAAUUUUUAGAUCACCUAGAUUUAUUUUAGUUUUAGAAUUUGAGUGUUAAUUUGUAAGGUCAAUCAACUAACCUGUUGCCGUGACUCAGUCCGAAGGUGGAAUUUUGCUCCCAGCAAAAGGGGAUUUAGCAUAUAAAUUGAACGAUUAUCAAACAAAGACAGACAGACUGGCCACUAUCUUGAAAAUGGGAGUGGCAAAAAAUGGGUGAUAAUCCUGCCUGCAAAAUCCAAGGGAUUAGGGAAACCAACCAGGGUUUAGAGUUUGACGUAGCCAACGUAUUUUGAGGUGAUAUUGAUAGAAAUAAAGUGUAGCUCAUAGAUUAUAGUUUGGAUAGACUUCCGCAAAUUUAAAUCUUCCCUCCCGCUUUCUUCAAAGAGUUGGAAUGGAUGGUCCGUGACAAAGCCUUCCAUGGAGGUAAGAGAGGCUUUAUUCCUUCAAGGCAAUUUGGUCCAACUCUGCUAGUUCAUCCAUGGGGGAAGCCUGGCAAAAUUCCAAAGGUGAUUAGUGUUGUAUCUAUUAUUUCACAGGGUGGAGUGUGUUUGGGUAGAUGGAGGGGGAAACCUAUAAUUUCAUAGCUGCUGGUUGAACAUUUCUGCUAAACUUCUUUUUCUUUUAAAAAUUGGUGAAAAGAUCUCAACAUUCAAGAUGAUACGAGGGCAUUGAACUAUCCCCAGGAUAGAAUGUACCCACAGUGGUUGCUAAAUCUUGGUGUGGUGCGGGUUGGAAGUCUCUAAAAUAUUUCCUGCAAAAUAUGAAUUACUGUUUUGGCCCAUUUUUCUGGGAGAUCUAAAUCAACUUUUUAAUUACUUGAAGUCUGAAGGUUUUUCCCCAUAAAUAUAAAAUCAGAAGUGAAAGCUUGACCUAGACCUUUUAGGAAAAAAGGUUGCAUUUUAAAAUCAUGCCACCACUGUCUUGUUUGGGAAGAAUACAAGUUGGGUCCAAUCAAAUGUUGAGUCAUCAACUAUUUCAAUGCCCACAUUCAUCAUGCCUAAGAAAUAUAAUAAGCAUUCUUAUUUUUUUAAUAGGCUCUUUGAAUCAUAUUCUAAAUGAGUACCGUGUAAAUAAAUUAGCACAACAAUCACGCCAUGCUUUUUUGUCAUCAUGGGUCAUUUUCAUCGGAUGCUUAGUGAUUUCAUUGCACUUGUGUAAUCAGGUGAAGAAGCUCCACCGGAGCAUCCAUGGGUCAGCUAUGUAGACUCUAGCUGCCAAAGGCGCUUCUCCUUCUGAACAGAGCGCUUUGCUCAGCCAGUGUAGACAUGGCCUGAUAAACAAUGGAACUUCUCCCUUGAGCUGGAGUUUGGAUUGAUCUAAUUCUUUAACUCAAACGUGUGCACAGGUUUGAUGAGUGUUUAAAUGCCUGCAUUUUAGUAAAACAGGAACUUAAAUUGACAGUAAUGUGAGGAAUCGCAUAAUUUAUAAUGAACUUGAAAGGCAGGAGCACUCACUGUUGCUCAAGCUAAUCAAGGGACUAUCAAAUCAAGGGUUUAACAUGAGCUUAAAUAUAUGUGGCAGGAGGGUUGUUCUUGCAGGCUUAUAUCUGUCAGAUCUUAACACUAAACCUGUCAGGGUGCAACAUGGCCGUGUCACUUUUAACCAAGAUGUCACAUAUAUUGUGAGAAACAACCUGCUUUGUGUUUUCUUCUCUGGGAUUUUACUGGGAAAAGCAAAUGUAAAAGGGAUUUUUUUUUUUAACACUGCAUUUUUAUUUUGCAGAUUCUCAGGCUGAUGGAGAGAGUGACGAGUGGGUUGCCAGCUAUAGUCAGCGUGCACAAUGGCUGCGGGGAAUAUAUUCAGACAUGCCCAAGGAGGUCUGCCCAGGGGGAAACACAUACCUUUGAGGUUUAAAUCAGAAAGGAAGGAGAGGCUGUUUCUACAGGUGUCAUAGAAAAAUCAAUAUUGAGCCACGGAUUAUUGGAUCCCAUAGAACCAUGGAGACUUGGCAGUGAAAUUCUUCCAAAGGUGAGUAGGGGCAUUGAUUUUCCUUCUCAUGCCUGAAGAAAUAUGACACAGGAACGGAGGCUAAAUUUAGACUGGAAACAAGUCUGAUUUGAAACUAUGUGCCUUUAAAAAACUUUGUGACAGUUUUUUUUUUUUUUUUUAAUUAAAUGAGGAAAUUGAAUGUGAGCAUAUAAAAUUUUUCUCAUAUAUUUUUCUUAGAUUUACUUUUUUUUCUUUAUUCCUUUGCGUGCUUUUGAAAAAAAAAACGACUAUUUGACCAACAUUUUGUCUAUAAUUAAGAUCCAGUGAUUUCCUGUACAACAUAAAACAGUCUCACUCUUAAACCUAUAACCAAGACUGCAAUAGUCCUUCACCUUCUAAGAAAAAGCAUAUUAUUUAUACAAUCACACUUAAAAAUAUGUGCCAUGAUUUUUAGACACGUACUUGCUUACUUGUUUAUUUGUUUUACAGUUUCUCCUAGAUUUUGAAAAGUUGAAAAGCUCAACAUAACGCAUUGGUUGUUUUCCUGCAUUGUUUAGCAUUCCAUCCUUGCAGGCAGACGGUGUUCCUAGGUUUGGAAGGAUAAAUCCCAGGGGAAGUGAGCUGAAGAACAUUUCAUGCAUCACUCAUCCUAUUAUGAGCCCUGUGCUGUUCCAUCUCUCUACAAGGCUGGCUGAAACAACAGAAAUUGGUGUGUAAUUCGUAUUCUAACUUUGGAUCACCUGGUUAAUACUCUGACUCCGACUACCCAGAAAGACAAUGUUCUAUAAGAAGAACUAUCUGUUAAAAGGCCUCCUGCUGCAUUAUUAAUAAAAUAACAGGGAAAAUGCGAUAAUCUGGAUGUCCCAUCUGAUGAGGUAAGGUUUUAUCAUGUCCCAUAAAAUGAGAUUACAUUUGAUUUUAUUUAUCAUUAUCCCAGCCCCAAGAAAGUUUGCAUUUGUCAAUUUGACACAGAAAUCUGUAAUAUAAAGCUUAAUGUACACUAUCUAAACUGUGACCAAUUUCAGGCAUUAAAAGCCAGGCUAUUUAAUGUAUUUUAUUUAUGUGUAAGUUACAUUAUCGUUACUGUUUUUCUAUCCCUUUCAGCUUGGAAAAUUGUAACUCAGUAUAUCACACAACAUACUUCAAUAAAAAUAAAUUAUGUAUAUUAUAGUUCUUAUGGGGGGCAAAGGCAUACUAUUUUACUGACCUUUGGUGAGGUUUCACUUUUGAUGUGUGAAUUUUUAAAUGUGAACAAACCAGAAACAGUGGCAUACUUGGAAGUAAUCUAAAGCUAAAAUGGGAAAUGAAGAUUUUGUGGUAAGUGCCAGCCUCGUGUUUGCUAUUGCCAUACUUCAGCAUCUGCCUGAGAAGAAAAAAAAGUACAAAAGACAAUGGAGAGAUGAUGGAGGAGCUGGGCAUAUGGAAGGUUCCAGGUGCCUGUGGAUACAAUAUGAGGAUACUCAAAUAUCUAAUCCUCUUUUUUUGAUACCUAUCCUAUAAUCCAUCAGAGUGGCCAGAUGCCCUCUUUGUAGUUCAAAAAUAUUAGUGUUUUCAACAUCAGUGCCCAUUAUGGCUAUACCAAAAUCCCCUUCUAUGUGUAAAAUAUAUCUUACCCAUAUCUGAGCAACAUGAUUGUAGCCCUUCUCUCUUUAGGUUAAGCACAUUGUAUGACUUCUCUUAAAAUGUUGCAAAGAUGAAUUUCCACUAGAUAGUUUGUAGUUGGUAAAAUAUCAUGAAUUUUUCAGGGGAAAAGUGGCAAUUAAUGGAAACAUAAUUAUCUUCACUGUGAAAAUAGUCUGGGAUGCUAACUUUGGCGAGCACGAUGUCUCUAACUCAUUAUCAUUUUCUUUGCUUAUUUUGUUGUCAUUCUUCGGGUUCUUUCUGGAUCCAUCUCUCUUUUGUUUCCCUUCGACUCCUCUAUUGUAUUCCAGUUGGCAGUUAAAGAACCGAAACAGCAAUAAGACUGCGCAGGCACAUUUUCCCAGUGCCACCAACUGGGCGUUAAGCUGACUAACGUUUUGAAAGCCCAGCCCAUUUCGUUCACAGCAGGCAAGGCAGCGGUUGACUGAUUGUACCCGCCAGCUGGCUAAUAUCAUAAUUAACGAAGUUGCUACUACAUCUGCAAAGUUUAAUCGAAAAAUUUGCCAGUGAUAUGAUGGCAUUGUCACAAAGAUCACAAGGGACCCAGAGUUGACUUUUGCUCAAGGUGGAAUGGCAAAGCUGUAUGGGCAAGAUGAGAAAUCGUGGACUUGUUCAGCCAAAGGUUAUGCUUCAUAUCACCCACCGGGGAGGAUCAUCUCUCAUGAAAACUUCCAAAUUUGAUUUUGAAAAUUAUUCAGAAAAAUUUAAGCCACGCUAUCUCCCACUGUAGGAAAGAAUAUACUCUGGAGGUUCCUAUAAUUCAAAGAAAAUGGACUGGGAUAACAUUUGGGUUUGCAUGCCACCAAAAUCCUCUCGAGAAGGACAGCCAGGUUUUGCUAAAGGAUCACACUGUGGAAUCUACAACCGUGACAAACUUCUGCACUUCCUGCCCCUUGAAAAACAAAAUAUUGGCAUGGGAAGGAGGCUAAUAAUGAAGGGCCGGGGAAGGAGGCCAGUGCUAAGAGGGUUAUCUCACUGCCUCAGAUGCUGGAUAAGUCGAAGGAAGCAGAAUCGCUUUUGGAUGACAUUCAGAAAGGCCGGAGUGAUUAUUUGGGAGAGAAAAGCCUGCCUAUUCUUUUCCAAGGUGCGUGACUGUUCCCCUGGCCUGCCCAUCCACUGAUGAAUUAUUAGCAACGUGCCUUAGACAAAGGACGCACGGGAGCCCCACCACACCUAGAGCCACGCUUUGAAGGAUCUGCCAAGCUCACUUUUCAUCAUGAGAAAGAAAUUACCCACAUGGAGUCAGCAGAAAAUGAGAAAGUAGAGCUCGUGCUGCGAAUAAUUCCAGCAAGUGCCAAGGGGCUAGUUGAGGAAUGGCUUCAUGAAGUGAAUAUCUUUAGCUUGUACUUAGGGUUUGGUUAGCGUAUAAUCAUUUUCUCUUUUAGGAGCGUUGACUAUCCUCAGUGUCUUUCCUCACUAAAGAGUGCUCAGAGCAUUCGUCAGGAUGUUGACAGAUUUAAUAUCAGUCUCGUCCUUGUUGUUAUUUACUGUGACUAAUUUUACAUGUGCAAAUAUGCAAAAAUCAAUUUAGGCGGAGAGGCGCUCCGGAGCCAAUGACUGUUAAUCGCUGUAUGUGUGUGUGUCUCGCUUGCGAGUGGAUGUCCAGUAAUUUCUGUCUCUGUGUGUGUACGUGCCCUUGUUCUUGUCUUCUCUCCGUUGUGCCAUAGGUUGGGAGGUUUGGCCAGCCAAUGCCUUCUCAGACGUGGUCUGAGGCUUUCAUUUGAUUUUUGGACCAGGAAAAAAAGAAUGUGUCACAUCAUGAUUAAUGGUCAAUCUGAAUUUUCAAUUCAUAUGAAAGGAGAAGGGGGAGGAGGAUAUGAGCCCAGUGAUGAGACUAACCUUUUCCCUUUGGGAAGAGCAUGAUUCAAAUUAAACAUCACUUUCAGUGUGAAAUUAGUUUGAAGGCUUCUUUUUUUUUCUCCCCCCCGUGCCUGGUUUAACUCCAUGGUGGCUGCUCCUGCGGAGAGGACCCUUCCAUCCGGCCUCUGUGCCCGAAUCUGUUCCCAGUAGGCCAUAGUUCCUCUUCUUUUGUUUUAUUUUUCUAAAGACCAGGUCCAAGAAACCAAAAAAAAAAAAAAAAAAAGAAUAUUUUACUAUAAAAGCAUCCUUAUUCACAAGAUAAGAUUUUCCCCAAAACAUGUUAUUUCUUUGUGUCCCACUUAUGUUUCCAAAAAAGAAAAAUAAAUAAACAAAUAAGUAAAUAUGUAAAUAAUGUUCUUCUUUUGAGGAUAAUUUUGCCAGGGAGGAGGAAAAGGGAAAGCGAGGGAUCCUUUCCAAAGACCUUUGAGUGCCCUCUGCUUUAUGCCAGUUUCUGCUAGCCGAGUGAGCCACAUUGGAGAACAGCAACCCCAAACCCCAAGCUUUCCCUCAGUUCUCUAGUUCCCCACGUAACCGAGUCACAGGAUCGCCAUGUCAACCUGCAGCAGCUCUGGCUUCAAGCAAGCAUAUGCCGGGACAGUCUGAAACUACCCUUCAGUACCUACCAGAGACUCAGGCCCAAGCUUGUAGAAAGAACCCACUGUCCAUGGAAACGCUGGGCCGCUUGCCCAUCUGUGCACGUUCUGGAUGCCACAGUUAGGCGUCAUCAGGAUUUGAUGUUCCGUUGAUGCUCUUUCUGGAAUUUGGUGGCUUGUAGAGAAAGGACAAGUAUAGAAAAGGCCAAGAGACAGGCUCGUUCUUCCAUGUCUUUUCAAAAAGAAGAUGCUAGGGCUUUGUAAUCCCUUUCCUACAGGAAGAGAGGUGUGGUGGGGGAGGGGAAGCAGCUGGGUGGGUGAGGUAGGGGAGGGGAGGCAGCUGGGGGCAGAGGUAGAGGUGGAGUGGGGGAGGUGGAAGGUGGAGGCAGAUGAGCAGCUGUGUUUAUUUUAAUACAUAUCAUUUAACCCUCACCUAAAAACAAAUUGGAGAGGUUUGGGAGUGCAUUAAUCUGGACCCAAUUAGCAUGUCUUUCUCCUUCAAAAGUGCAACCUGAGAUUAAUGAAUAUAAAGUAGAGUUUCAGAUGCAGUGCUUAAAUCAUUUGCAUGUUUCAUGCAUGAUAAUUGAAUUUAUGUAUGCACUUCCUAUCAUUUAACUAUUUCCAGUCUCCUCCCUGUGAUUCACACAAACCAAGAUUUCAUUACAGUAACCUCCAGGUGGAAAUAACUUGGCUAGACCUUACUCCUAAUGAGGAACUCAAGUUCUUGUUUCUUUUAUUUGAAUUUGAAUCAUACGAUAUUUUUUUAAAAAGCAGAGGGAAGUUCUUAUUAGUCUGGGACACUCUUUUAGGAGGUGGUAAAUAGGCAUUCUGAGUUUAUUUUUGGAAGGCCGGAAAAUCCAUGCGAACUUAUGGCAUUGACUUAUCAGUGGUCACAGAGAAUUGGGUUUCAGUGUGGUCACUUAUCAAUAUAUUAAUAACUCUGAGAGCAAUGUCACUUUAAUGCAGCAUAAAGAACGUUCUUGGGCUCUGGGCCUGAGGUAUUUAGAUCCCUGGGAGAUUUAGUGCACCGGAUUGUUUCUGGCAUAGACCCUGGCUUCUAGAGAUGUGGGUGGGGGGAUGGUGUCAGCCUCCAUGAAGGUCUGUAGAUGGGCAGUUAGCACUUGUGGUCUCUUAGUAUGUUGUAGGUUUUUUUUCUCUUUUUUUUCUUUCUGUUUUGUUAUUUAGGUGUAGAAGGCUUAAUGCUGACUUAGUGUGAGCAGGUGCUAAGUUUCCCCCUCUCCACCUGCCCCAGAAUGAAAGCCUGAAAGCUGGCAGUGGGCAUGGAAGAGAGCUUCCUGGGGAAGAAGGUGAAGCAAGCGGCUUAAAAUAAAUCCCCUGGUUUCAGUUCGUAUCAGUGAUUUGUCUGUCUUCUGUCUUUCCUCAUGUGUUUCCAAGUCCGAUGUCAAAGUGAUGAGCUUUUCUCCAGGAAUUCUUCCCAGUGUCCUUUGUUUUUGGUGAAUUCAAUGGUUGAGUGUCGCUGAGUGUCUCUGGUCUUGUUUCCUGGUCCUUGUAGCUAAGAAUGUCGUUGAAGGAUAAACUCUUGUUAAUUUGUGAUGUCACAAUUUAAGUGUGCUUCCUGUCACUUACGUGUAGUUUAAAAUGUUCCUUAAUGUAGCAUGAAAUGAUUGGUUAGCUUUGAAAUGGUUGUGAAGUCAUGUGAAGAAAAUAAGUUUUGCAUCCGACCAAGAUAAAUUCACUCUAGUGCUUUAUGGCUUUUUAUUCCUAUGUGAUAGUAAUAAAGUCUCAUGUAGGGAUGGAAGCCAUGAAAUACAUUGUGAAAAAUCAUCAACUAAGAAGGGGCCAUCAGUAUAGAAAACGGUAGCCUGUGCAGCUGUGAACAUGAUGGAGAAAUGACUUAGUGCAUAGCUCUGCUACAUGUUUGGUGUCUCUUUGAGUUUCUUUAUCCUUAGGUUUUUGACAGCUAAGGAAUCUAGGUUACAAGAGUUGACUCAUCUUCGUAAUCAUUGAUUUACAUGCACAUUCGGGCUUGCACAUUUCUGUUUAUCAUACAUUUUUCUCCGUGUCCUAUUAUCCAAUGAGCUCUAGGAGAACUGUUAAUAGCCCACCAGUCUGGUAGGCAGCGAUCAGUCCUCCCAUGGCUUCUUUCUCCUGUGGCAGUCUUUAUUCUGACACAAAGAAGGAAUCGUCAAGUCAGACUUGACCUCUUGGAAAUGUGGUCCAGAUUGCUCUACUCCCAAGCUCCAAAAAGGUGUACAUUGCAUGGGCUAGAUCAACGCCUCCUCAGAUCCAUAAAUCCACCAGGCCAGUUCCAUGUACAGGUGUAGCUCCGGUUGGGAAACACCUACUGUCGGACAAGGAGGAGGGCUUCAGGGUGGAGUCAGGUUCUCCUCUCUGCCACUUGGAGCCCCGGGGCAAGUCUUUUCACUCUUUAUCUUUAAGACUGGGAGAAGUAACACGGCUAGCAAGGUUGUUGUAAGGAUUAAAUGAAGAAAUGUAUGUAUACAGGACCUAGCAAAUUAUUGAGCAUGUCCAAACAAACAAAAAAAAAAGCCCGUGAGAUUUGUUUUUCUAUUUUCUUCCCUUUCUUCCCACUCUCCUCCCCCUCCCCUUUCCCUGCCCUCCCCUCCCCAUCCCUCUCUUUAGACAUUGGUCCAAAAACAGAACCUUUGAGAGAGCAAAGAGUUCUUCUAGAAUGUCUAGUUGCACCUCCUUUCCAUGUGUGGCUUAAAUGCCUUGGUUGGGUUCAUAGUUUCAUUUUUUCUAAAUGAACUAUUUUAAUGUUGAUGAUUGACCUAUUUCACUUUUCUUUUUUUCUGUACAUACAUUUUUCCUUGACCUGUUUUAAUAUUGACUAUUGACCUAUACUCUUUUUUACUGGUUUUCUGUAUUUUUUUUCGAUGAGAAUUCUAAUAAAGAUUAUUUGUGUUA